UACGAAGGGUGCAAACGUUGCUCGGAAUCAUUGGGCGUAAAGCGCACGUAGGCGGUUCGUUAUGUCGGAUGUGAAAGCCCUUGGCUUAACCGAGGAAGUGCAUCCGAAACUGGCGAGCUAGAGUACUAAAGAGGAUCGCGGAAUUCCCGGUGUAGAGGUGAAAUUCGUAGAUAUCGGGAGGAACACCGGUGGCGAAGGCGGCGAUCUGGGUAGAUACUGACGCUGAGGUGCGAAAGCGUGGGGAGCAAACAGG
Molecule: ribosomal RNA, 253 nt
Filed under: uncultured bacterium
Lineage: Bacteria
Description: partial 16S ribosomal RNA
Rfam family: Bacterial small subunit ribosomal RNA
Source: RNAcentral